GGGACCGUGGGUUAGCCUGGUAUACUCCGAGCCUUGGGUGCUCGUGACCGCGGUUCAAAUCCGCGCGGUCCCA
RNAcentral lists this transfer RNA (73 nucleotides) under Halococcus dombrowskii. RNAcentral describes it as "tRNA-Pro". It matches the Rfam family "tRNA". Rfam says of the family: Transfer RNA (tRNA) molecules are approximately 80 nucleotides in length. Their secondary structure includes four short double-helical elements and three loops (D, anti-codon, and T loops). The record is from RNAcentral. RNAcentral also lists the same sequence under 2 other names. Lineage: Archaea; Methanobacteriati; Methanobacteriota; Halobacteria; Halobacteriales; Halococcaceae.